CUGUGGUCCACAUACUGAGGAUUCUAUCCAUACCUCAACCCCUGCUGCACAGGAAACCCUUCCUGCCUCUUCUCUGGCAUUGAGCCCCUGACUCUCCCAUCCAGCUUCCAGCUCAGCCCGACAUAUGUCUCUCUGUGUCUCUGGUUAUCACUGGUGAAUCUUCAGCCUUGGGGCUACCCCAUGGCAGCUCAAGGCCCAGCUGAGCCAGCCUGGCCCCCAACUUGCACUGUGGAGAUGGGGACUUGGUCACAGAGAUUAAAGUAGACACUGAGGGCAGAGAGGCCGGGGAUGGAAGGGAACUUACAUAAGGCCACAGGGGAGGUCAGAAAUCUCACGGGCUCUGCUGGCUUCUGUGCUUCGUCUCUCAAGGCCAAAAUCAAGAUGUCAUCAGUGCUGAGCUCUGGUGGAGGAUCCACAUCCAGGCUCACUGGAGCUGCUGGCAGAAUUCAGCUGUGUGGGGUUGUAGGCAUGAAGUCCUUGUUUCCUUGCUGGCUGUUGUCCAGGGGUUGCCCUCAGCUUCUGGAGGCCGCCUGCCCUCCCUGGCUCAUGGCCCAUCUCAUCCUGACAGCCAGCACCCGCGGAAAGAGUCCCUCUUGCGCUGUGACUCUCUCCCACCUCUUCCAUUCUCUAUGGCUUGUCUGCCUCCCUCUUUCAUCUUUAAGAGUGCAUGUGAAUAUAUUGGACCCACCUGAGUCAGCCAGGAUACCCUCCCCAUUUUAAGGUCUGCAGCCUUAAUUCUACCUGCAAAGUCCCUUUUGCCAUGUAAUGUGCCAUAUUCACGGGUGUCAGGGAUCAGAGGGCGGGUAUAUUGGGGGACCAUUAUUCUGCCAACUACACAGGGCCUUAUAUGGUCUUGCUCUGUGUCCCCACUCAAGUCUCAUCUUGAAUUGUAAUCCGAAUUCUAACCCACAUGUGUUGGGGGGAGGGACCUUGUGGGAGGUAAUUAAAUCAUGGGGGCGGUUACCCUCAUGCUGUUCUUGUGAUAAGUGAGUGAGUUCUCACAAGAUCUGAAGGUUUUGCAAGGAGCUUUUCCCCCUUUUGCUCAGGACUCUCCUUCCUGCAGCCAAGUGAAGGACAAGUUUGCUUCCCCUUCCACAAUGAUUGUAAGUUUCUUGAGGCCUCCCCAGAACUGUGAGUCAAUUAAACCUCUUUUCUUUAUAAA
This 1162-nucleotide non-coding RNA is filed under the name Pongo abelii (Sumatran orangutan). The record is from RNAcentral. Lineage: Eukaryota; Metazoa; Chordata; Mammalia; Primates; Hominidae.